UACGUAGGGUGCGAGCGUUGUCCGGAAUUAUUGGGCGUAAAGGGCUCGUAGGCGGUCUGUUGCGUCGGGAGUGAAAACUCAGGGCUUAACCCUGAGCCUGCUUCCGAUACGGGCAGACUAGAGGUAUGCAGGGGAGAACGGAAUUCCUGGUGUAGCGGUGAAAUGCGCAGAUAUCAGGAGGAACACCAAUGGCGAAGGCAGCUCGCUGGGACGGUACUGACGCUGAGGCGCGAAAGCGUGGGGAGCAAACAGG
RNAcentral lists this ribosomal RNA (253 nucleotides) under uncultured bacterium. Its description in RNAcentral is "partial 16S ribosomal RNA". It matches the Rfam family "Bacterial small subunit ribosomal RNA", at positions 524 to 776 of the family's 1533-position model. The record is from RNAcentral.